This 10689-nucleotide long non-coding RNA is filed under the name Oryza sativa (Asian cultivated rice). RNAcentral's name for it is "long non-coding RNA (OSAT_LNC001424)". Lineage: Eukaryota; Viridiplantae; Streptophyta; Magnoliopsida; Poales; Poaceae. The record is from RNAcentral.
AGGAGCACACACGAUCGGGCAGGCGCAGUGCCAGAAUUUCAGGGACAGGAUCUACAACGAGACCAACAUCGAUUCCGCCUUCGCGACGCAACGCCAGGCCAACUGCCCACGGCCGACGGGCAGCGGCGACAGCAACCUGGCGCCGCUGGACACGACGACGCCCAACGCCUUCGACAACGCCUACUACAGCAACCUGCUGUCCAACAAGGGGCUCCUGCACUCCGACCAGGUGCUCUUCAACGGCGGCAGCGCGGACAACACGGUCAGGAACUUCGCGUCCAACGCGGCGGCGUUCAGCAGCGCCUUCACGACGGCCAUGGUGAAGAUGGGGAACAUCUCGCCGCUGACCGGGACGCAGGGGCAGAUCAGGCUCAGCUGCUCCAAGGUGAACUCCUAAUUAAGGAGUAGUAUGACGGGAUGCGUUCGUUGCUGGAAGCAAAUCGUGUCGACGACGACAUAAACGGGCCACACCACAUAUACCCAUAUAUGUAGUAUAACCACAAGUAUAGGUACGGUGGUGUUGUACUAGUACACGUAAAGUAUAUGGCAGCCAGCUCGCUCUAGCAAUCCAUCAAGUGUAUGGAGCAGAGCAGCCAUGGCAUUAGCACCUAGUAUACCAAAAUAAAAGCUCCUCAUGCGAAGGCAUGCAUGGAGGAUUAAUGAACUGUUACCUUCACACACAUGUCCGUUCACAACUUCUCCAGACUUUUACGGUACAUCAAGCUCCGUUUUUUCAAGUAAACAACACUAGAUUAUGUUUUUUCAUUAGAUAGAGAAAAAAUAAAUACAACCUGCCCCUAGGAGCGAAAAAAAGAAGAAGAAAAAGCCCGUCUUUACAAAUUAUAUACUGAUAGGUAAUAACUCUCUAAGUCAUUUUGUUCCUGCCAUAGUCCAAGUCUUCUUCCUCUAUUUUUGCUAGGAGGGUUAUUGUCGUGGUCUCCUUGUUAGAAAUUUUGUUGGUUCCUCUCCUUCCGUAUCUUCUAGACGACAAGGAGAAUUAGGGAGCGCAAUCCCCGCUUUGGCAUAAAUGUCGUGUUUGGCACACACAUUGAUAGGGGUGGCUAACAAGCCGACUCGGCUCGACUCGUAAAAACUCAUUAAGUUAAUGAGCUAGCUUGGCUCGACUCGUUAACAUAACGAGUUAAAAAUGGAACUCGACUCGACUCAUUAAAAAGUCCGAGUUGACUCAUUAAACGUGUUACACCAAAAAACAUGGUUUGAAAUUCAUAUGCAAUAUAAUUUGUGAUUCUAUGACAAAAAUUAUGAUUGGCGUGCUAUGUAUCAUGGCUCAUAAGAUUGUACUACAAUGUAUAAUUAUGAGUAUAUGACUUUUACACCUGUAAAAUAUGAACAAUUAACUUCUAUCUUAGUGUAUCAUGAGCUCAACGAGCUAAUCGAGUAACUCACGAGCUAGCUCGAGUUGGCUCGUUAAGUAAACGAGUAAAAGUUCAAACUCAUUAACUACUCGAGUUAAGUCGAGCCGAGCCGAGUUUUACACAAGUUGAGCUAGCUCGUAAGUUCGAUUUUUUUUCCACCCCUGCACAUCGAGCUCUGUUUCGCUAUUGAUGUUGGUUGACACGGUGAACUUUGACUCUUUGAGUAUCAAUUAUCAAACGGUGUACUCCUACCGUCUUACGUGCCAUUGCCAUCCCGCGCGGCCGCACCGUCCCAAACUCCCACCGACGCAAGCAAGCGCCGCCCUUCCGCUUGGGCCGUUUUACGCCCGAAUGGUCCGAGACCUACCUAUUGGGCCUUUGGACCGUGUGACGCCACAUUUCGCUCGCAGUGUCUGUCAGACCAGGGAUGGUGGCCCGUGGGCGCUGAGCAGGCCGGCCUUUCAUUUAGUUCGUGUCACCUGUAGGCGGCUAGGCCGGAGGGAAACUAACGUACACUUUUGUUGUUAUUUAUAACUUUAUCGACUAUAAAUUUUGAUAAGCAACAAAUCAAACAUGCCAUAAUCAAUUAGGCAAAAUUCAGUAAUUUACCUUAGCAAAAUUUAGUAAUGGAAAAAUUAGGAAAAACUAAAGUUAUAUUCCCUCCUCCUCAAAAAGAAUACAAUUUUAGAUUUUAAAUUUAUUCCAACAUAUAACGUACUCUAUAGUAUUGCUUUUUCGUCCAACCACCACUCAUUCACCCAUAUAUUACUAACCUAGCUACUCCACCAUUCCCAACUGUCCCUCAUUUGAUGAGUGGUCGAGUAUUUUUCCUAUACUAUACUAGUUUGUCUUUUAAAUAUUACAAUUGUAUUUUUCUUUUUUAGAAUUGAGGUAGUAAAUUUGUAAACAAAGUGAACAGGCCACCAACCUACUAGGUGGACCACUGUACACGAUAAUAUUAUUUGUGCUAUUGUGUUUAUUUUAAUCUAAGUUGCAAAUCAAGAGAGUAUUUUAUUUCAUUCAAAAAGGAAUAAUUUGUGAAACACUCAGCAACUGUAUAAUAUUAGCCGUGAAACUCGGUUAACCAUAAUUUUUUUUCAAAGGAACUAUACGAUAAUUUAAUUAUUUUACUAUCCGCAUUUUAUGGCUUAAGAAACAAGAGUAACAUACGGCACAUGCAACAACCACCAUUCUAGCUAGAGCUAGAAAUGUCGGCCCAACUUGUGAUAGCUAAUUACGUUCGAAUGGAAAAUCAUAUCACCAACAUGCAUGGUUUAAUCAUGGCAACGCUGAUGCGAAAGCUCUCGCAGAUCUAUUAUUUUUUCCCUGGAGAUUGAUCGAAAAUGAUGGCACAACGGUAUGUAAUGCUAUAACAGCAUAUAUUGUCUUGUAACACACCGUUUGCACUUAAAUUAGACAAUUAGUCCGAACGUACAUAAGAAGAUGAAUUGCGAUAGACCAUUCUAGCUCGUCACGAGCUGAAUAGUUCUCGCACUAUUAUACCCGAGAUCAAUUAGCAGAGUAUUAAUAAGGUAAAGUUAUUUUCAUAAACUCUGUACGACGAUAGUGCAUACAUACCAAUCUUUAACAAAGGGACAAAUUAUCGACGGCAUUUGUAUGUUCAUGUGCUAUUCUAUGGCACGGGUGCUCUUUUUUUUUGGCUUAAGCAACGCGUGAUUAAUGGUUAACAGAUUAAGGUCAAGCGAAAUGGACCGAACUGACCCUACAUUGCAUGAAUAAUGCAGAGGUGAUGAUGUUGGCCGUAGGCCGUACGUAGAAACUUAUGUUGGACACACAUGUAAGUACUAGUAGUCUAGUAGCACUAAUAAAGUUAACUAAUAAAUUAUAUAUGAUGUCACUUUAAAAAAUACAGAUUCAAAUUCGAUAUAUUGAAGUUGAACAAAUUAAAUUCUAGCUAGUUAGUAUGCACACAUUCACACUCAUAUUUGUUUUUGUGUUGUAAUUUAUAGAAGUUAAAAUUCAACUUGCAAUUUGUUAGUAAAAACAUAACUAUUUAGAUGACUAGAAACAUAUCCUUCUGUUGUAAUGUGCCAGGCUCAUAUAAGUAGAAAUAUGCUAUUAGAAAAUUAGAGAUAGUACUCUGUGCGUGGUGGGAGGAGGGAUGAAAAAAUGACGAGUUCGAUUUUAAGGUAGUAGAGAUAUGUACAAAGCAAUAGGAUAUUCCUAUUGAGAUUAAAAUACAUUCCCCUGCCCAGCUCCCCUCGUAUGAUUAAUGUACCUGCAUAUUUCGUCUCAUCUCGGCACCAAUCGAUGGCGUCAAGCCUGUAGCUAAGCUAGCUAUAUAAGAUGCAGCGUGGCACCAGCCUCUCUUGCAAGCCACGGCCAGCGAAAAAGCUUAAAAAAAACUGCAGUUAUUUAGGUAGGAUUAAGCAUACGCGCACGGCGCAUCAUAUCGCUCACUCUGCAUGGCUUCGGCUUCUUCUGUCAGCUUAAUGCUGCUCGUGGCUGCAGCUAUGGCCUCAGCCGCCUCGGCGCAGCUGUCGGCGACGUUCUACGACACGUCGUGCCCAAACGCAUUGUCCACCAUCAAGAGCGCAGUGACGGCCGCCGUGAACAGCGAGCCCCGAAUGGGAGCCUCGCUGGUCAGGCUGCACUUCCACGACUGCUUCGUCCAAGCAAGUUUUGAUCACCUAAUCUAAUCAGCUGUACAAGUAGUUCUCCUUAGACUGUACUUUGAGACAAGGAAAUUAAUAACAGAGGAUGUAUCUAUGGACUUCACUGAUGAUGCAGGGCUGUGACGCGUCUGUUCUGCUGUCCGGCCAGGAGCAGAAUGCAGGCCCGAACGCUGGGUCACUUCGGGGAUUCAACGUCGUCGACAACAUCAAGACGCAGGUCGAGGCCAUCUGCAGCCAGACCGUCUCCUGCGCCGACAUCCUCGCCGUCGCCGCCCGUGACUCCGUCGUCGCGGUAAGAUCACGGAUGAGAUUACUACAUGAUGCAUAUAUUUCUUGUAGACUGUAGUAGUACGUACUCCUAAUCGCUCUUGGUUUGGUUUGGAAUCCUUAUAUUUGCAGCUCGGAGGGCCGUCGUGGACGGUUCUAUUGGGAAGAAGGGACUCCACCACUGCGAACGAAAGCCAAGCAAAUACCGACCUCCCUGCCCCUUCCUCUAGCCUCGCUGAACUUAUCGGCAAUUUCUCCAGAAAGGGACUCGACGUAACCGACAUGGUUGCUCUCUCAGGUACAUAUAUAUGUACACAGAUUAUAUCAGUGAUUGAUUCUCUUACAAAUUUUCUGAUAAGAAUCAUAAUACGAUGAGAACUUGCAGGCGCACACACGAUCGGGCAGGCGCAGUGCCAGAACUUCAGGGACAGGCUCUACAACGAGACAAACAUCGACUCCAGCUUCGCGACGGCGCUCAAGGCCAACUGCCCACGGCCGACGGGCAGCGGCGACAGCAACCUGGCGCCGCUGGACACGACGACGCCCAACGCCUUCGACAGCGCCUACUACACCAACCUGCUGUCCAACAAGGGCCUCCUGCACUCCGACCAGGUGCUCUUCAACGGCGGCAGCACGGACAACACGGUCAGGAACUUCUCCUCCAACACGGCGGCGUUCAACAGCGCCUUCACGGCGGCCAUGGUGAAGAUGGGGAACAUCUCGCCCUUGACUGGAACCCAGGGGCAGAUCAGGCUCAACUGCUCCAAGGUUAACUAGCCGGUGAUGACGAGUACGUGAUGGUCUCAGGGAAUAAAGCUAGGCCCCGACAUUGCUGCCAAUAGCGUGCAGCUAGCUGUGGCCAUCUCAUCACUUUCAUGGUUCAAUGGUUUCAUCAGCAAGUGCACGGAACAGACUAGAGAGUGUAGGUGUAUGCAUGUGUGAUGUCAUGUAACGAGUUGCCAUGCAAAGGCAUGAGGAUUACGGACCUCUCUUUCGUCGUAAUCCUAGCAGCUACAGAUUUCAACUGUCGUGUUAACCAAGUGAAGUGCUAGUUUCGAAUGUAUUGGCCCCUCUCUGCUCUUCUCUGCUCUGGCGAUCUGGCCUCUGCGAUGGUUUCUUCUGGGGAAUAAGUUCAUCUAAGUUCCCUUAACUUGUCAACGAAUCCGAUUUUUAUCCUUCAACCACAAAACCAGAUACAAUUGGUCCCUCAACUAUCAAAACCGGUGCAUAUUAUGUCCCUCGGCGGUUUCGAUAGUGGUUUUGGCUGACGUGGCGCCUACGUGGCUAAUUUUGACUCGGUCUUGAUCUGACGUGGCACUGAUGUGGCGCUUACGUGGCAAUUCGAUCCGGAAAAUAAUAAACCCCGUGGGACCCACAUGUCAGUUUCACACACAAUAAUAAUAAUAAUGGUGGGACCCACGCGGACCCCACAUGUCAGUCUAAUUAACCCCUCCUCUUCUGCUUCCUCUCUCUCCUCCUCCCCUCUCUUCGUCUCUCUCUUGCGCUGGGUCAUUCUGAUUCUCCUCUUCCCCAUCUUCUCUGUCUUCAUCUCUCUCCCCUCUCCUCUCUCUCUUCUCUCCGGUUCACGGGCGGCGGGGAGAGGACGGUGUCCGGCUGGGAGAAGGGGCGCGGCGCGGCGGCUAGUGGGAGGGAAACUAGCGGAUAGAAGGGAACCAGCCCGGUGGCGGAGGCAGCGCCGCCGCGGCCGUGGCUGCGGACGACGUCGACGUCGACCUCGGCAUCCUCGGCGGCGGGAUGAACGUGUCCCGCCGACCGGCCGACACACGCGCGCAUCCUCGGAGGUGGCUGUCCACGUGGGCGGGUGAGGGGGCCACCUCGCCGGCGGGAGAGGGGAGAGGCGGCCGGCUGCGAAGACGACCCUAGUGAUGAUGACGACCGUGCGGCGCGCGGCGGAGGCCGAUCCCGUGAGCAGGAAGCUCUUCGUCCACGGCCUCGGCUGGGGCACCAGAGCCGACGACCUCCGCUCCGCGUUUAUAUGCCUAAUCAUACAAAGGUAGAAGAAAUAGCGACUAGUACUAGCUGACUGGAGUAUAUUUUGCUUCGUCAUCAUCAUUUGCUUGUGUUAUGACGGGGUUGAUGAAUGAAUAAAUGAUCAUUGUUUUGGGCAAGAAAACACCGUUCCGGCCGGACUGACGAGGAACCCAUAUCGAUCCGCUCGCCGCGGCCCAUGGAAACCCAACAGGAGAUGGCAACGCUACCUUCCGCCGUCGGCGACUACUAAUGGUGGGUGAUGCUCGAGCACAUUGAUGAACUCGAGGUCGACGACGAGGACUCCAACUACAACUCCUGCUCCGCCGCUGCCGACGACACCGCCAAUCCCGUGAGUCCAUGACGACCUCGCUCACCUCCAACGGCCACGUCGUAAGAGUCUACUUCCGCCUCAAAGCGCCCCCGGCGACGUCACACCUAUGCCUCUGGCAAUCACUCUUCUCCAUUUCCGCCGCCGUCGUCGUCGCCGGCCGCAUCCCCUAGUGCAAGAGAGAGAUGAAGAGAGGAGAGAAUGAGAGAGAGGAAGCAGAAGAGGAGGGGUGAGUAGACUGACAUGUGGGGCAGCGUGGGUUCCACCAUUAUUAUUAUUUUUUUUUGUGUGUGAAACUGACAUGUGGGUCCCAUGGGGUUUAUUAUUUUCCCGGGUCAGAUUGCCACGUAAGCGCCACGUCAUACCACGUCAGAUCGAGACCGAGUCAAAAUUAGCCACGCAGGCGCCACGUCAGCCAAAACCGCCAUCGAAACCGCCGAGGGACCUAAUAUGCACCGGUUUUGAUAGUUAAGGGACCCGUUGUAUCUGGUUUUGCGGUUGAAAGACGAAAAUCGGAUUCGUUGAUAAGUUAAGGGACCUUAGAUGAACUUAAGAAGUCCGCCUGGAGAGCUGAAAUGGGCUGCACCUUUUAGUGUCCCCGUGAUGUGGCCCAACUACGCCUAGUUAAUGGGCUACUGGUCUGGAAAGUGGAUUGUAGUCCGCUUGUGUACGCUGGAAUAAGUUCACUUUGCGUCCCGCAUCUUUGAUGGCAAGUUUGAAAAUUCGUUGCUGAACCGCAAUAUCAAGUAUAGCCUGUCCCCGAACUCGUAAAACCGUGUUAACUUUCGUUCUAAUAUAGUAUGGCUCCUGAUUUCGUCCGAUGUGGCGCUUUGACUCUGGUCAGUUGUGCUGAGUUAGCGUGGGACCCAUGCUAGCCCGUGUGUUAGUAACUAACUCUUUCCUCCUCUCUCCCGCUCUCUCCUCUCUUCCCAAUCCCCAACCAGGAAGCAGGUCGCAAGCAGCGUGGAUAAGGUUGGCAGCCGACGUCCAGCGGGUGUGUGGGGAGAAGGGCGGCCAAGCCCGAUGCGAUGCAAGGAGCCAUGUCCAAUUUGAGAAUGUAAUUCGAACUCAAUGUUAAGAGGACAGAUCCCCGGCUGUGUUCGGGAGGAGGGGUUGGGAACCCCUCCUCUCCGGCAGGUAUAACGAAACAAUCAUUAGUGUAUAACUAAUUAAGUAUUAAUUUAAAAAUUUUAAAAAAUAAAUUAAUAUGAUUUUUUUAAAAAAAACCUUCCUGUAGAAAACUUUUGAAAAGAACGUAUCGUUUAGUAGUUUGAAAAGCGUGCAUAUGAAAAAAAGAGGAAAAUGAGUUGAAAAAAAAAGGGAAUAAGUGGACUUAUUCCUGUGUACGCCUUAAAUCGCCAUGUGCAUGUGUAUAGCAGGGUUGUAUGGCGUCCAAAAAAACACGCACACGGAUAGUUUUGUUCGGUUUGGCAUAACAAUUUAUAGCAUGUUGACUGUUGACCUCAUCCUGUCAGUCGCUCGGUUCAUCAUUUCAACUGCUUGUGCAUCACCCAAAUAAUUCGACUGGCUAAGGUUUAUCAGAAAAUGUGUGUUCGUCUAUUUUUUCUGGUAGAAGAUUUACUUCGGAAAUAGUUGUGGUCCAAAUACUGUCCAAACUCUUUUCCAAACGAGUGAGAAGAGAAAUGGUGGCCAAAUGGAAGAUGAUCACGUACACCAAAAAAUAGUAAUCUUAUAGAUAUAUCAUCAACUAGUAGUGCACAAGCUCCCACGUUAAUUAAAAAUUUUGAUCAAUUUAUUGUCUACAUGCCCAAUUAAUUAAUGUUUGAAUCCUAAUACAUGCAUGGAAGAUAAAAUUAGAACCAGAUAAUAAAAGCAAUGAUGUACUCACUCCUUCCCAUGUUUAUCCAUCAUAUAAUGGAAUUUAAAAUUUCUUAAAUCGAUCAUCAUAUAACCGCAUGGACACAGAUUUUAUCAAAAUACAAUUAAUACAGCAUGAAAGAAUGUGUACAUGCUAAGAUGUAAUUGACAUGGUGUUUUAAUCGAUACAUACAUUAUGGGAGAAUGUGUGCAUGGUGUUUUGAUUAAUGUGAUUUAAAUUAUACUUGGUCCUCGUGCAUAAACAUAUAUGAUGAUCAAUUUAGGAAUGAGGAAGUAUUUAGUUUGUGUGUUUAUAUGAGCGUUUGCACGACUGUACUAUGUUUUUAAAAAAUACUGUUACCUUUCUACUCCCUACAUUCUCCCAUGAUGUAUUAAUUGUAUUCUGAUAAAAUUCGUGUCCAUGCAGUUAUAUGAUGAUCAACUUGAAAAAUUUUGGAUUCCAUUAUAUGAUGAUUAAAUUGGGAAAGAGAGAGUAUUAGCUUUUUCAAAUAAAUAUAGGGGGGGGUGGUUCAGCAAUUAAAAUGGGGCUAACCUACCUGUAAACUCUAAACAGAAAUCUGUGCCUAAAGUGAAAACCACUUAUGUCGGACAGGUAUAGAAACUAAAAGAUAAUUAAAAUUGUCAACAUCGGUUUAUCCAGCCAAGAGGAACUAGAAUGCAAAAUUACUUUACAGCAAUGCAGCUCUGGCGAAACGUUGACAGAUUUGGCCCUCUCCCACACGAAUGCUGCAUAUGUUGGCUUGUAGCAGCCAUCGUUUCUAGCAAAUCAAGUCUGGUGUUAUCAGACUUGGACACAUGCGUACUAGUAAUAUUAGGGAGUCCCUACAGAGAAGUAGAGAACGACCAAGAUUUUGCACUUUUGCUGGCAUAUGUGAAGACAUAACUCCCGAAUAUACUUGUUGGCUGUUUAUCUCCAAUGUAUCUACUAUCUAGCAAUAUGCAGGCUCAUUUUGCUGGGAGAAAAUCGCGAGCUAUAAAUAUGCAUGCAAUGCAGCGUUUUCUCUUGCAAGAGCUGCUUAGACAGGAGUAGUUGCUACGAGUACUUGCUAGGAAGAAACUGCAGUGUGCUCUGUUCCAAAGAGUAGUGAUGGCUUCUGCCUCUUCUCUUGGCCUAUUACUGAUGCUCGCGGCGCUGGUCUCCACGGCCACCGCGCAUUUGUCGCCGACGUUCUACGACACGUCGUGCCCCCGAGCCAUGUCCAUCAUCAAGAGCACCGUGACGGCCGCCGUGAACAACGAGCCACGCAUGGGCGCGUCUCUGCUCAGGCUGCACUUCCACGACUGCUUCGUCCAAGCACGUUUCCAUCUCACAAACCACCCUGUUUUUUUUUUUUACUUUGAUUUAAGGCCGAAAAGUAGCUAACAGGUUUGCCUGUCUGUCAGACUACGUGAGUUAGCAGCGUUGCAAGAAAAUAAUCGUGGCUUAAUUUUUGUCUGAAUCAACACAGGGCUGUGACGCCUCAAUUUUGCUGGCCGGAAACGAGAGGAAUGCAGCCCCAAACUUUUCUGUCAGAGGCUACGACGUCAUCGACAGCAUCAAGACGCAGAUCGAGGCCGUGUGCAAGCAGACCGUCUCCUGCGCCGACAUCCUCACCGUCGCCGCCCGCGACUCUGUCGUCGCGGUAACCAUGCAUGCAUAUAUCAACGACACAAGAUAUCGAGCUCGCGAUUACGAAUUCUGUGAUGCUGAAUUGCUUUAUUUGGUUUUUAAUUUGGCAUGCAGCUUGGAGGUCCGUCAUGGAGUGUUCCGCUAGGGAGAAGGGACUCCACCGGAGCCGCUACCGCGGCCCAGGUGAUUAGCAGCCUUGCUCCUUCUACAGAUAGCCUCGCACAGCUCAUCAGCGCGUACGCGAGCAAGGGACUUAGCGCCACUGACUUGGUUGCUCUCUCAGGUGCACACAAUAUAUAUAACUCCUCGAUCGAUCUCCUAAUCAACCAUGGAAGUGUAGUAAACAACAGCUUGUGUUGAAAUUUGAAAACGAUAUGUUUUUGUUUCAAUUAUGCAGGUGCGCACACGAUUGGUAUGGCACGGUGCAGGGGCUUCAGGACGAGGCUAUACAACGAGACCAACAUCGACGCCGCCUUUGCGGCGGCGCUCAAGGCCAACUGCCCGGCGACGCCGGGCAGCGGCGACGGCAACCUGGCGCCGCUGGACACGACGACGCCCACCGCGUUCGACAACGCCUACUACCGCAACCUGCUGUCGAACAAGGGGCUCCUGCACUCCGACCAGGAGCUGUUCAGCAACGGC